This 460-nucleotide long non-coding RNA is filed under the name Lupinus angustifolius (narrow-leaved blue lupine). Its description in RNAcentral is "long non-coding RNA (LANG_LNC001022)". Lineage: Eukaryota; Viridiplantae; Streptophyta; Magnoliopsida; Fabales; Fabaceae. The record is from RNAcentral.
UUAGUUGGUUAGAUAUUCUAUUUUGGGAAAAUCAAUUUGUAGAUUGUUUAUCUAGCAAGUUUCCUUUUUGCUUUGAAUUCCUUUUGUAUAAAAGUCAUCACAAGGCACAAUUCAUCAAUGAUCAUAUCUAUUUAUUCAAUCAUAAAUUCGUUUUAACCAACAUUUAUUUGGAUGGAAUCUGCCGCUUGUUCAUACCUACUUCCCGAACCCUGAGUCCAUUGAGAAUCGUGAUGCAUAGACACUGAAAGCUGAUCAUGAUGUUAUUCCGGUCAAUGAGUUCCAAAAUUAGUAAAAGGGAAUAUUUGUUUCUGGUUAGGAAAAAAUGUUACGUUUAUCAUUUGUUAAUGUGAUAUUUUUCCUUGAAAUUUAAUUGAAAGAGAGAUAGAUGCAAGUGGUUUCUUCAUCCUAUUUUCCAUAGAUUUAUAUGGAGCUGUUAUAUUUCUGAACAUUUCAUAUUCAG